RNAcentral lists this ribosomal RNA (279 nucleotides) under uncultured bacterium. Its description in RNAcentral is "partial 16S ribosomal RNA". It matches the Rfam family "Bacterial small subunit ribosomal RNA", at positions 506 to 784 of the family's 1533-position model. The record is from RNAcentral.
UGCCAGCAGCCGCGGUAAUACGGAGGGUGCAAGCAUUAAUCGGAUUUACUGGGUGUAAAGGGCGCGUAGGCGGACAAGCAAGUCAGAUGUGAAAUUCCGAGGCUCAACCUCGGAGCUGCAUUUGAAACUACUUGUCUUGAGGGUAGACGGAGAAAACGGAAUUCCACGUGUAGCGGUGAAAUGCGUAGAUAUGUGGAAGAACACCGGUGGCGAAGGCGGUUUUCUAGUUUAUUCCUGACGCUGAGGCGCGAGAGCAAGGGUAGCAAACAGGAUUAGAUA